CGUGGAGUCCUUCUUUUAUAAAUAUCUCUUGAUUCUGAACUCCAAAUAUAGCAAAUAAUAUAUGCAUUUCGAUCAGCUCGACGAGAUCUUUGUAAUGGUGUACUCCAUUCUGUGAUUGGUGCUUGUACCAGGGCGGGCGCCCUGCCCCCGGGCCCGUUCGGCCUCCCGUUCGUUUCCGUGGUUUCUAGACUCUUCUAGAUGAUAGAAAAUUACACGGCAUGUUAAUAUCUCUAUGUAAACCCGACGUGUGGGCCUUUCCUCCAUAUUUCCUGAUAACCCCCUGUAGAAAUAGACAAACACCAAAACUCGUGGAAUUCUAUAAGAUAAAACCCUAAGUCUGGGUGUUGGUUGCAUUUGGAUCCUUUUCUUUAUUCAUUUGAUGAUUAUAUUUGGUACUUAAGGACCGUCAACAAACUCACCCAAGCUUACCUCUUGCUCGUCCCUAAGCAAGGAUAGACUCAAAAGUUUCUGCAGUGGUUUCAUGCCUUAAAAGUACACAUGCGUUCAAGCAAGAUCUUAUCUCUGAGUUAGAGUAAACUGUUAAGACUUAAAACUUACUCAUUUUACCUUUCACCAUGGGGCUUGCAACCGUCACUUGUGUCUUGAGCAGUUAAAAGAUAGAAUAGUCUAGUCAAGUGCCAUGUCUCUUGUUCUUUGAUUAACUAUAGCUCUGGAGUUUUUGCAGAUUUUUAAAUAAAACCCAGAGAUUCCUUGUAUGACUCUCUCAAAUCUCUCUUUUGUGGUAUUUCUGGAUCCUUUCCAAGGCAGUAAUGGUAUAUGCCUAGUCUCAAAGUAUGUGGCAUUUUUGGUAUGAGGUAUAGUAAUAUUGUCUUCUCUCUCACCCUACUCUAAUAAGGUUUUGAUAUGUGGAGCUCAUAGGUGGGAGACAGAUAAUACAUACUUACAAGAAAUUUAUUGCAUAGUCAAACCAUAGAUCCAGAAGAACAAGUCAAUAAGUCAAAUCAAAAUGUGCAUGUGUGGCGAAUGAAUGGUGUAUGGUGAUGGCGGUGAUAACAAUGGUGAAAGUCUAAUUCUACUUUGCUCUUUUAAAGGGAUACAUACCUUUCUUGCUCUUUUGAAACUUUUUGAGGAGAAUGAGAUGCUCUAUAUUUUCUUUUUCUUUCCUCUCAGGUUGGUAUUUUGUACCCCUAAUUCUACUGUAGGACACUUGUCCAUUUUUACCUCUCGUCUCACUUUUUCUUUUCUUUUGAGGUUCCGGGCACUUGCCCCUUUUUAUUUCCUCGUAUCCUUUCUCUCUUUUCUUUUUUUCUUUUUUUAGAGCACUUAUCUCCUGAAAUAAUAUAGCAAGUGAUAGUAACCAAGAUAACUCGAGCAUUUAUUUCUUAGGGAAAAAUAGAAAUAGGAGAAUGUUUUUGGCUAUUCUCUCCCGGAUUAGGUGUAGAAUACUUUUGGAUGGCUCUGGAGAUGGAAAUGAGUGGAUAUAUGUGGAUGCGUACUUCUGGAGUAGAAGUAGCAUGUGAGUGAACAUGCAAGUGAAUCUUGAUUUUAACCGCAUGACAAGCUCCUAAGGGUCUACACAGCUUGACUACACUCAAUGCUCAUAAGCAGUAAAAAGUAAAUGUAUGGUUCAUAGUCUAAUAAGCUUGUAUAUAUGGCUGUGGUAGGAUUUUAAACUCUCAUCAUACAGGAACUCACCAUGCAACAUUUUCAAGAUUUUCAAAGAUAAAAUUCUCUAGAAUUUUAGCAUCUCUAGGAACAGAUAAACAGCAGCUCAACCUUCCCAUAUCAUAUCUGUUAAUGACUUAGACUUUUGAUCAGGUACUCUUCCCGCAAAUUCAGGUUUAGAGCAAGCUUUAAAUUAUAACAGUUAUACCUAAACUUGAGAGAGAGCUUAAAUUUGAAAACUAGGUACUUGGCGGAGCAACUAUUCAUCAUAUCCAUGUAAGAGUUUAUCAUUGAAGUUCAGUUUGGCAUAGACACUAUAUUUAUUUAUUUAGCAAACUAAGCAAAGAUAUAUAUAAGCACAAAAUGUUUAAUUGGGUUUUUAUGAUUAUGCAUUUUUUUAUUAUUUGAGUAAGGUAUAAAUGUGAGUAGAAACACUUAGCUGGAUAAAUGGGGGUGCUCUCCCCCAAGCUGGAUUUUAACGUAAUUUCUUCUGAUGUAGCUAGCAGGUGGCGUAGGUGUAUUUGAAUGUUGGCAGCACCCUGAUAGUGAUUAGAUGUCCUCCGUAUGCUAGUCUUCCUUGAUCCUUGAAUUCUAUGGAGCUCAAAUAGACAAUAAAGCUUUGUGGAACUGGUUAAGUGUUAGCAUAAAAUCUCUUAGCCUUUAUCAUGUUGAGCUUCUGCUAAUAAAUAUUACUCUCUUUAGUGUGUAAGGAUUAUAUACAAAUCUUAAGUGUGUA
Molecule: long non-coding RNA, 2362 nt
Filed under: Sorghum bicolor (sorghum)
Lineage: Eukaryota; Viridiplantae; Streptophyta; Magnoliopsida; Poales; Poaceae
Description: long non-coding RNA (SBIC_LNC008980)
Source: RNAcentral